UAAGAGUUAUUACUUUCUCCGGUCUCCGGCAUACUGCACUUCUGUCUAAAUCAUUUAUUAACACACAGUGUGUGAGAUUAGGUGUGAGGUAGAGACAGAUCAAUAGUAAAUCUGAAAAGAGAGAGGCAGUAAAUUAAUGAUGAAGUCGUCUUUCGGAAAGCUCAAGAAAUUUGCACUACACAAGGAUAAGAAGGAUCAUCAGAUAUUGUUGCAUUUGGACGGACUUUCUCAGGCAUCACAGGAUAUGAAAGACAUGAGAGAUUGUUAUGACAGCUUGCUAUCUGCAGCAGCAGCUGCGGCUAAUAGUGCCUAUGAAUUUUCAGAAUCCUUGAUGGAAAUGGGAACCUGCUUACUGGAGAAAAUUGCAUUGAAUGGUGAUGGAGAAAAUCGCAAGGCAAUGUCGAUGCUUGGAGGAGUACAAUUAGAACUUCAGAAAUUCGUAGACUGCUAUCGUUCCCAUAUCAUCCUAACUAUCACAAACCCAUCUGAGUCUCUUCUUAGUGAACUUCGGAAAGUGGAGGAGAUGAAACUGCAGUGUGAUGAAAAAAGGGAGGUGUACGAGUAUAUGGCAAAUAGAGGAAAAGGUGGAAAAGGUGAGAACUUUACUUCUCAGCAGUUACAGGCAGCCCGGGAGGACUAUGAGGAAAUGGCAAGACUUUGCAUUUUCCGUGUACAAUCUCUGAAGCAAGGGCAAUGUCGGAGCCUUUUGACCCAGGCAGCUCGUCACCAUGGAGCACAGCUUAAUUUCUUCCGCAAAGGACUUAAAUCUCUUGAAUCUGUUGAACCACAAAUAAGGAUGGUUGCUGAAAACCAACACAUUGACUAUCAACCUGUUGAAUUGGAUGAUAGCGAGGAUGGAGGCAAGAGCUAUGAGGCCAAUGAUGAUGGUGAAUUGAGUUUUGAUUAUAGAAAAAAUAAGCAGGAACCAAAUGACUCUUUCCCAAUGAGGGAUUCAAUGGAGUUUGAUCCCGCUGAUGCUCCAAGUACCCUAACCUCUGGGAUGGAGGAAGUGGAGUUGGAUUUGGGCAGAAACCAGGAGCAGGUUUUUACUAGACAACCACGUGUAGUCAGUCAUUCUGCUCCAAUAUUUGCAGAGAAAUCAGAUAUUUCUGAUAGGAUCAAACAAGCACAGACAUCUGCCCGGAAAUUUCACACAUACGCCUUACCGACUCCAGCCGAUGCUAAAAGUUUGACUUCAAGGACAAGUGUUUCCCUUCAACACUCAAGUACCAUGAAUACGAGUGGAGGCAGCAACAAUCCGUGGCAUUCUUCCCCGCUUAAUAUGGAUAAAUACUCUAAAUUUUCAGAUGACAACUUGUCAACAGACACUCUUGCAAAAGGCCAAUCCACUGCUCAAGAGAUUAAAGAUCAUACUUUCUCCACCCCACUACCCCCGCCUCUUGCUGAGGGAACUUCUCUCCCACAAAAUGAUAUACAAAAUGGAAUUGAUGCCAGAAAGAUGAGAAGACUUGCUUUCUCAGGUCCAUUAGCAAGUAAGCCUUCAUCCAGCAAGCCACUGUUAUCUGCCAGUGGACCUAUUGGCUUGGCCGAACGGCCUCUUUUAGAACCUGGAUUGGCUUCUGGUAUACCAAUAAGUCAGCCACCAUCGACUCUAGAUGUAUCCUACA
Molecule: unclassified non-coding RNA, 1628 nt
Filed under: Hevea brasiliensis (rubber tree)
Lineage: Eukaryota; Viridiplantae; Streptophyta; Magnoliopsida; Malpighiales; Euphorbiaceae
Source: RNAcentral